RNAcentral lists this long non-coding RNA (786 nucleotides) under Pan troglodytes (chimpanzee). RNAcentral describes it as "lincRNA". Lineage: Eukaryota; Metazoa; Chordata; Mammalia; Primates; Hominidae. The record is from RNAcentral.
CAGCCCUGUAGGAGACACCUCCAGAGAAAGUAACAGCUCUCAAUUGAUUAGCUGAGGAAGACACCAGACAAAUGAGUUACACUGUUUUGGACUCCCCAACACAAUCCAGCCACCGGCUGAAUGCCACCAAAUUACCUUCUAGUUAAAGGUUUAUGGAGCAAACGAAUCACCUAUUCAAUAUCUGCUUGAAUUUCUGACUCAAAAUACAUCAGGUAUGUACUGUGUGACUUAAAUAUUGAGUUUAUUUUUAUCAAAUACCUGUCAAGAAAGAAAGUCAAUUCUGAAACAGCAGAAGCUCAAAGUUCUACAGAUGGCUUUCAAAGGAAUUUGAAUUAGACAUCAUUUGAUGUUGCAAAAAACAAUGACAUCUUUUAUAGCUCUAAACAUCAGUUUUUAAAUUAGAGAUUGAUCUAUAAAGGAGCUAAGUUUGCAUAAUCAUUAUUCAUUUUAAGAUAAUAAUAUAUGAUAGGUACUAAAUUAUAUAGUAGUUUUGUGUAGAGAUUUAUACAUAUUUUCUGAUUGCCAUCAUCACAUCAUCUAAUUAUUUAGAAAUUUCAUUUUCAGAAUCUUGGAUUUUGGACAUAGAGCUUUAAAAAAUAUUGUACUUUAUUUUGAGAUGAAAAUGUGGUCAUUCACAUUUUCACAGACCUGCGUGGAGCAAUCUGCAGGGUGGGGGUGAGAUUUGGGAGUAGAGGGGAGGUGGUAAUAGACACACACAAAACUUGUUAAUUGCUAUACAAGAAGCAUGUGCUUUAAAAAUGACAAUAAACAAUCACAAAACCAGUU